This 1274-nucleotide ribosomal RNA is filed under the name Monothalamids sp. RNAcentral's name for it is "partial small subunit ribosomal RNA". It matches the Rfam family "Eukaryotic small subunit ribosomal RNA", at positions 1160 to 1828 of the family's 1831-position model. The record is from RNAcentral. Lineage: Eukaryota; Foraminifera.
AAGGGCACCACAAGAACGCGUGGAGCAUGUGGCUUAAUUUGACUCAACGCGGGAAAUCUUACCGGGUCCGGACACACUGAGGAUUGACAGGCAAUAUUAUUUAAAUAUUUUGACACGUCAUUUCGGUGAUGUGGAUUUUUAUUUUUAUAUGUAAAUAUGCUAGUCCUUUCAUGAUUAUGUGAUAGGUGGUGCAUGGCCGUUCUUAGUUCGUGGAGUGAUCUGUCUGCUUAAUUGCGUUUCACUAAGAGCUUAUCAAUUACGUAUGUCUCGCUCGCAUAUUUUGACCCCCAUUUCUUUUUUAGCAUUUGGUUUUUUCAAUUUGUUUUCGGACAUUUUGUUAAAAUCAGUUAUUAAAGAAUUGUGCGCGUGUCAUUUAUGUAUCCAGCAGCAUACAAUUAAGCUCUGAAAGCAACGAACGUGACCGCAACCUCUUGUUGCCUCUAAUUUUAUCAUGGUUUUGAUUAAUUAAUUUUAAAAAUGUUUUGAAAGAAAACUUGUUUUCUGGAUGAAUGUUUUUUUAGUUUUUUUUUUAUAUGACCUGAGUCAAAGAGGCUUUAAAACUAGAGGGACCGCUGUAACUUUUUUAAACCAGAGGAAGGUUGCGGCAAUAACAGGUCUGUGAUGCCCUUAGAUGUUCCGGGCUGCACACGUGCUACAAUGAUUAUUGCAGUGAGCAUCUCAUAAAUAACACCGCAGUUAGCUAAUUUUUAAUGGCUUUAUUUUGAACCUCAUUUUUUUUUUUUUUGGAAAUGGAUAGUUUCUUCGGAAAUUUGAAGUUUUUAAGAAGAAUGGAGUGUUUUUGGGAUUUAGUUUCAUUUUUUAUUCAGCAAUACUCGGUUAAGCCUGCUUCGAAAGUAAGUAGGUAAUCAAUUAGAAGUAAUGAUUUCCCAAAUUUUAGCACACCUAUAUGCAGCGUUUAUACCCGGAUAUGAGCUUGUCUUGUAUCUUUGUGCGUAUAGAUGUUUUUUCUGCAUGUGCUUUUAUCAAUUCAAGGUGGGGACAGACCAUUGUUAAUUGUUGGUCUCGGUCUUAACUAGGAAUGCCUUGUACGGGUCUUUGGUUCAACAAACCACCCGGAAUACGUCCCUGCCCUUUGUACACACCGCCCGUCGCUCUUACCGAUGGACUUCUCUGUGAGUUUGAGGGACUGGAUAUUUAAUUUUUUUUUCUUUGAAUUAAAAAUUAAUCUUCUAUGGAAACUUAAACGAACAGUGUGGUCUAAAGGAAAGAGAAGUCGUAACAAGGCAUCGGUAGGUGAACCUGCAGAAGGAUCA